CCUACGGGGUGCAGCAGUGAGGAAUAUUGGUCAAUGGACGAGAGUCUGAACCAGCCAAGUAGCGUGAAGGAUGACUGCCCUAUGGGUUGUAAACUUCUUUUAUAUGGGAAUAAAACGUUCCACGUGUGGGAUUUUGUAUGUACCAUAUGAAUAAGGAUCGGCUAACUCCGUGCCAGCAGCCGCGGUAAUACGGAGGAUCCGAGCGUUAUCCGGAUUUAUUGGGUUUAAAGGGAACGUAGGUGGAUUGUUAAGUCAGUUGUGAAAGUUUGCGGCUCAACCGUAAAAUUGCAGUUGAAACUGGCAGUCUUGAGUACAGUAGAGGUGGGCGGAAUUCGUGGUGUAGCGGUGAAAUGCUUAGAUAUCACGAAGAACUCCGAUUGCGAAGGCAGUUCACUGGACUGCAACUGACACUGAGGCUCGAAAGUGUGGGUAUCAAACAGGAUUAGAUACCCGGGUAGUC
This 460-nucleotide ribosomal RNA is filed under the name uncultured bacterium. Its description in RNAcentral is "partial 16S ribosomal RNA". It matches the Rfam family "Bacterial small subunit ribosomal RNA", at positions 338 to 795 of the family's 1533-position model. The record is from RNAcentral.